GCGACCCCAGGUCAGGCGGGGCUACCCGCUGAAUUUAAGCAUAUCAAUAAGCGGAGGAAAAGAAACUU
Molecule: ribosomal RNA, 68 nt
Filed under: Silene turkestanica
Lineage: Eukaryota; Viridiplantae; Streptophyta; Magnoliopsida; Caryophyllales; Caryophyllaceae
Description: partial 28S ribosomal RNA
Rfam family: Eukaryotic large subunit ribosomal RNA
Source: RNAcentral